This 59-nucleotide transfer RNA is filed under the name Dallia pectoralis (Alaska blackfish). RNAcentral's name for it is "tRNA-Thr". Lineage: Eukaryota; Metazoa; Chordata; Actinopteri; Esociformes; Umbridae. The record is from RNAcentral.
CAGUUGGUAGCUCAGUGGUAGAGUGCAUGCUUUGUGUGUAUGGUUCGAAUCCCAGCUGC